UACGUAGGGUGCAAGCGUUAUUCGGAUUUAUUGGGCGUAAAGCGCAUGUAGGCGGUUCGGUAAGUCUGGUGUGAAAGCCCUCGACUCAAUCGAGGAAGUGCAUUGGAUACUGUCGAACUGGAGUGCAGGAGGGGUGAGCGGAAUUCCAGGUGUAGAGGUGAAAUUCGUAGAUAUCUGGAGGAACAACAGCGGCGAAGGCGGCUCACUGGACUGUAACUGACGCUCAGAUGCGAUAGUGUGGGGAG
This 245-nucleotide ribosomal RNA is filed under the name uncultured bacterium. Its description in RNAcentral is "partial 16S ribosomal RNA". It matches the Rfam family "Bacterial small subunit ribosomal RNA", at positions 524 to 768 of the family's 1533-position model. The record is from RNAcentral.